This 652-nucleotide ribosomal RNA is filed under the name Mycena cf. quiniaultensis OSC 66997. RNAcentral describes it as "eukaryotic LSU rRNA". The stretch from base 272 to 425 matches the Rfam family "5.8S ribosomal RNA". Lineage: Eukaryota; Fungi; Basidiomycota; Agaricomycetes; Agaricales; Mycenaceae. The record is from RNAcentral.
CCGUAGGUGAACCUGCGGAAGGAUCAUUAUUGAAUACGUUGGCGUCUGAUGCUGGCUCUUCACUGAGCAUGUGCUCGGCCCAUCUAUUUAUCUUCUCUUGUGCACCUUUUGUAGUCUUUGAAAAAGUGAACCUCUCGCAGCAAUGCGGUUUGGGUGGAUGGGCGCGAGCCCUUCGCCUGCUUACUUUCUUCAAGGCUAUGUUUUCAUAUACACUAUAAAGUUACAGAAUGUCAUUUAAAGAUUGUGCUAGUCGCAGUCAUUAAACAUAUACAACUUUCAGCAACGGAUCUCUUGGCUCUCCCAUCGAUGAAGAACGCAGCGAAAUGCGAUAAGUAAUGUGAAUUGCAGAAUUCAGUGAAUCAUCGAAUCUUUGAACGCACCUUGCGCCCUUUGGUAUUCCGAAGGGCAUGCCUGUUUGAGUGUCAUUAAAUUCUCAACCCAAAAGCUUUUUAUCGAGCGUUUGUGGCUUGGACGUGGGGGUUUGCUGGCUUCCUUCAGUGGAUGGUCUGCUCCUCUUAAAUACAUUAGCGGGAUCUCUUGUUGACCGUCACUUGGUGUGAUAAUUAUCUAUACCACUUGGCUAGUAAGCAAAUCUAUGGGAAUCCGCUCAUAACCGUCUUCGGACAACUCUUGACAUUUGACCUCAAAAUCA